AGAUUUAUCGGGAAGGGAUCGGCCCGCGUUGGAUUAGGUAGUUGGUGGGGUAAUGGCCUACCAAGCCGACAUCCAUAGCUGGUUUGAGAGGAUGAUCAGCCACACUGGGACUGAGACACGGCCCAGACUCCUACGGGAGGCAGCAGUGGGGAAUCUUAGACAAUGGGCGCAAGCCUGAUCUAGCCAUGCCGCGUGAGCGAUGAAGGCCUUAGGGUUGUAAAGCUCUUUCAGUGGGGAAGAUAAUGACUGUACCCACAGAAGAAGCCCCGGCUAACUCCUGCCAGCAGCCGCGGUAAUACGGAGGGGGCUAGCGUUGUUCGGAAUUACUGGGCGUAAAGCGCACGUAGGCGGACGGAAAAGUCAGAGGUGAAAUCCCAGGGCUCAACCUUGGAACUGCCUUUGAAACUUUCUGUCUUGAGGUCGAGAGAGGUGAGU
Molecule: ribosomal RNA, 435 nt
Filed under: uncultured Alphaproteobacteria bacterium
Lineage: Bacteria; Pseudomonadati; Pseudomonadota; Alphaproteobacteria
Description: bacterial SSU rRNA
Rfam family: Bacterial small subunit ribosomal RNA
Source: RNAcentral